Molecule: ribosomal RNA, 301 nt
Filed under: uncultured bacterium
Lineage: Bacteria
Description: partial 16S ribosomal RNA
Rfam family: Bacterial small subunit ribosomal RNA
Source: RNAcentral
CAGCCGCCGCGGGAAUACGAAGGGGGCUAGCGUUGUUCGGAUUUACUGGGCGUAAAGGGCGCGUAGGUGGACUGAUAAGUCAGGGGUGAAAUCCCAAGGCUCAACCUUGGAACUGCCUUUGAUACUGUUUGUCUUGAGUUCGAGAGAGGUAAGUGGAACUGCGAGCGUAGAGGUGAAACUCGUAGAUAUUCGCAAGAACACCAGUGGCGAAGGCGGCUUACUGGCUCGAAACUGACGCUGAGGCGCGAAAGCGUGGGGAGCAAACAGGAUUAGAUACCCCUGUAGUCCCUGUCUCUUAUAC